GGAGGCAGACCGUGAUGGGGGUGCCUACCUAUUUCCCCCUGCUCAACUCCUAUCCUUCAGGGCUUCCCCACCACCCCUCAAAUGUCCUCUGAAAAGGAAACACAUCAGGUGAAGCCUCCCUCCUUGGAUGGCAGCCCAAGUCAGUGGACAGCUGGGUAAAGGGAAGGAGAAUGAGGUGGACACUGACCGUUGGGCAGUGGUUUGAUGUCCGCAUCUCCUUGCUGGUUUGAACUAUCUGAUUGUCCGGAUUCUGCAGGAGAAACAAAAGGGAGAAAGGGUCAGGAGAAAAGUUUCAUACAAUCACUGACCAAGCAGGAACCCUCUAGCCUUGGGCACCGACUCCAGGCAGUAGACCUUGAUCACCCAGGCUCCAGGGCUAACCCAGGCUCUAGAGCUAGCCCAGGAGCACUGGGGUGAACAAUGACAAUAAGUACUUCACCCAACAUUUGGGCUGGGCUGGUCACUGUGGCAGAGGGAGAGGCAUCCUGGGCAGAGUGUACAGCGGAUCUCUGCCCUCUACCCACCACAUGCUAAUAGCACCUUAGUUGUGACAACCCAAACUACCUCCAGAAACUGCUCAAUGAGCCCCGACGGACAGAGUCGGCAUACAUAGAUAGACAGCACUGACCAGGAGUCUGAAGUCAGGAGGAAAGAAGCCAGUAAUGGGCACCGUCCAUAACAGGGCAGACCCCCGGGCCCUCCCUUUCCCAGAGGGGCAUUCCCAUCCCUAAGUCCAUUAAUUGAUGCUGUUCCUGUGGGCUCAUGCCCCUCCGUCUCACCUUUAUGCUUACAAGCAAUGCCUGGCAACCCGGAGGGGGGAGGUGUGCCCUGCUGCCACCCAUUCUGUGCCAGCCUGUCUGGGCUGUCUCAUGCCCCAUUGCCACAGCUGCUCAGAGGGAGCCCUGAGACAAGGGCCUAUUGUGUGGUGGAAGCUCACAGAGGGCUGGGGGCAGGGUGGAGUGUGUGUGUGAAUAUUUUGCCGAGCUUGAGAAAGCCCCCCCACCCUCGCCCCCUAGGUCCUCCAAGGCUUUGUGUGUGCCAGGGGCAAGAUGGGGACCUCCAGAAUGCCUGGGCACGACAGCUGGUGAGAGGGUGGGAGUGCUGAGGUAGGUUGUAGGGCGCUUGGUGAAGACCUAAGCUAUGCAUAAGGACCACAGGGGUGGCAUCUGACACUGUGCCCUGUUCUGGCCCAGUCAUCCUAGCUGGGCCGCUGGGCCAUUCACCCACAGUUCCAUGUAAUAGCCUGCUAGGUGGGGUUUCUAGGUGGGGCUGGUGGGUCCUGUAAGAGUCAAGGCCCUCUACAUCUGUGGCUGGGAAUUCAUCUUGUUCAGUUUUUUUUUUUUUUCUCUUUUGGCAGAACUGGGGAUUGAACUUGGGGCCUCAUGUGUGCAAGGGCAGAUCUCUACCACUGAGCUACAGCCCAGUUCUCUCUCUUUUUUUUUUCUUUUUAAAUUCCAAAAAAUAAUAGUAAAUCUUGCUAUGAAAUAAGAGGUAGAAGUCAUGAGGAAAGUGCUCACAAGUUCUCCCCCUCCCCCAUUUGAGGUGCAUCCUUCUAUGCCACUGUGGGUCAGUCACCUCUUUGCUUGGCAUUGUUUGCCAUGGAGGGGGCGCUUAGGACCUCCUCCUAGAAUCUCUAGCUGUAUCUUUUUUUUUUUAAGAUCUAUUUAUUUAUCAUAUAUGAGUACACUUUAGCUGUCUUCAGACACACCAAUAGAGGGCCUCAGAUCUCAUUACAGAUGGUCGUGAGCCACCAUGUGGUUGCUGGGAUUUGAACUCAGGACCUUUGGAAGAGCAGUCAGUGCUCUUAACCGCUGAGCCAUCUCUCCAGCCCUAGCUGUAUCUUGAGAUCUUACUGUACCCCGGUAUCACACAAUAUGGAUUUUCUUCUUACUCUCUGGACCUGGGUCUGACGCAAGUCCAAGCCAGUCCAAGCCAGUGCAAACGGAAGCCAAAGGGUCUAGGUGGCAGGCUGUCUCUGCUCCGGCCUUCUUGUGAUCCCACUAUGAAGUUACCCAACAUGUUGAAGAAGGGCACAGCCGCAAGACUGGCAGGCUGAGUCCAUCAAAGGAUACAUGGCACACACUCUACUGCCCAUAGGCUGCCAUGAAUCCCACCCAGCCUGGGACCGACAGAGCCCCGAAGACCAAGUCUGGGUCAGUUUGAGGGGGCUCAGAGUCCAUCCCGUAGGAGUGCAACUGGCCCACUGCAAAAAGUCAAAUAGAGUGGGAGAGAGCUGCGUGGCUGUGUGAGUGUGCGGGUGUGUGCGCGCGCACAUGUGCGUGCGCAUGUGCAAGCGCGCGUGCACAUCCAGCCAAGGGACAGAAAAGAGUAGAGGACGUGACAAAGAGAUGGAGGUGCGCCAGCGAGGCGACUACGGCAGAGACAAAUGGGGCUCCAGGAAAGUGCGACAGACAGGAAAUCCUUUUAAACCAGGACACUUCCCAAAAGGGUGCUGCUGUUAUUACUAUUAGUUCAUAGAAAGGAGCAAACAGAGAAGCCGGGGAGGAUGAGGCCGGCUGCCACGCGCCACUAGGCGUGGCUCUGGGCGCUGCUGGCAGCCAUUUUAGACCUUGGCAGCCAUCUUAUGGCUGGCGGCCUUAGCCAGCAUUGCCACAAUGCCGCCACCACCAGCCCCCAACAAGCUCAGCUCAGCUCCAGGACAAAAGGCAGACACACUGGAUGUCUGGAUGUAGACUCACAGGCAGAGGAGCCAGCCCUAGAGCCAGGGCAGCUGCAGCCAGGGUCCUGCAGGCUCUGCUCAGAUGCCACCUCAGCUCACCGGUGACAUACAUCUGAGACUGCAGUUUUUUUGGACCCAGAGGCCCCCCGUAGUGAGUGAUGGGGCCUGGAUCACUACCUUCUGUGAAGAGCAGCAGAGGGGGUUUCUCAGCCACUAAAGGGCAAACACAGACGCACCCAUGAUAUAGGCCUAGCAGUCCUGUCUUCAAACCUUACCCGCUGGGUACCCUCCGGCUGGGCCAGCACUGGCAGACAGGCCUGAACCAUCAGCCCCAUGAGGCUAAGGCCUCGUGACUGUGCUCACUGCUUCGUCUUUACCACCUCUCAAAGACUCAGAGCCCUUUCUAGAUCCUUCUUGCAACCGUGGCUUCUACCCUGAUGCACCCCUUAGGGGACAGAGCACCGCUAGCUGGCACCUUCCUCCCCUGCUGAAGAUAGGCUGUAUUCCUGUCUCCACCUUUAACCCUGUAAACCUGAGCCGAGCCUCCCAUCAAAGGAUUCGAUGGACAGGAGGAGCCCAGGUUAGGCAAGACAAGAGAGUACUCUGCCCAUGGCCUACUCCUCUGCCACUUUAGAGACCCAAAGGCUGCAAGAGCCAUUUAGACAAGACAUGAAGGACCUGGGAUCUUGACUCUAAGUGUUUGUGUUGUUGGUUUUUUAAAAUAAAAGCUUCUCUGCUGCUA
Rattus norvegicus (Norway rat) is the source of this 3422-nucleotide non-coding RNA. The record is from RefSeq and is a predicted model, not a curated record. Lineage: Eukaryota; Metazoa; Chordata; Mammalia; Rodentia; Muridae.